This 301-nucleotide ribosomal RNA is filed under the name uncultured bacterium. RNAcentral describes it as "partial 16S ribosomal RNA". It matches the Rfam family "Bacterial small subunit ribosomal RNA", at positions 509 to 807 of the family's 1533-position model. The record is from RNAcentral.
CAGCCGCCGCGGGAAUACGUAGGGUGCAAGCGUUAAUCGGAAUUACUGGGCGUAAAGCGUGCGCAGGCGGUUAUAUAAGUCAGAUGUGAAAUCCCCGGGCUCAACCUGGGAACUGCAUUUGAGACUGUAUGGCUAGAGUGUGUCAGAGGGGGGUAGAAUUCCACGUGUAGCAGUGAAAUGCGUAGAUAUGUGGAGGAAUACCGAUGGCGAAGGCAGCCCCCUGGGAUAACACUGACGCUCAUGCACGAAAGCGUGGGGAGCAAACAGGAUUAGAUACCCGGGUAGUCCCUGUCUCUUAUAC